AUAACCUCCUUAGCUUCUCUGGAGAACUUUCAAAGUUGCUGCUGCUGCUGCUGCUGCCACCACCACUACUGCCACCACUGCCACCACAGCCAUCAUUGUGGCUAUCUUCAAAGUCCUCUGUUGGUGCUUCUGCUACUUGUUCUCAAGACUGCCCUAACUUCAGUGUCAGAGACCACACCUGAUGUCUGUGUGCCCUCUACCCCAGGAAAAGAGAGGAACUUCAAUAGAUGGAGAAAGUAAUGGAGGAAAAAUAGUCUUCAGAGAACUACAACUGCUUGAACAGAAGUGGACUGCAGUAAGACUGAAGGAUAUUUUGUAUUUUCCUUUGUUGCAUGGAUUGCCAUGAUCAAAGGGUUUAUCAGUGAGUGACUAGCUGCUGUUAAUAAGUCUCAUCAUACAUACACUGGUUCUCAAAGAGCAGCCACCAUCUGUUACCAGAAUCUAUCUGAAGCCUUUCCACUUUGUAAAACCUUCCAUAAGAUGACACAUCCAUUGAGAAGUCAGGGGUCACCUCUACAUCAAGAUGAAAUAAGUAUAGGAGCAGAAUUCUAAAUGGUUCUAAAAAUAGACAGAAUGUGACCCUCCCUUGUAGUGUCUGUCUCCUAUUAUAAGAACUUGAAUUUAAAAACGAAUUGAAUUUCAAAUAACCUUGGUCAAGGUGACAACAGUUAGAGUUCACAUGACACAUUUCAUACCAGUUUUAAAUAAGUCAUUCAGCAUUAGACCUAGAAGGCAUCUAAUCCCAAAGAUCAUCGAAUCUACCUUCUUAUUAUAUAUUUUCUCUAUAUGCAAUGGAGGCAAACUGCUAAGCUCUAGUCAAGCCUAACCCAUGAAACAACAGGGAAACUGGUAACAUGGAAUGCUAAAUACAGCAAGACAUAACAGCUCUAUGUCUCCCCAGAGUAAGAAGGCAGAGCCAUCCAGUUAAUAGACACACUGUGAGAAACAAUAGCAGCCAGGCUUACCCAAAGUACCAGAGAAGAGUAAUCCACAAUCUUGGAACAGAGUUCCCUCCUCUCCAAGAUCAGAAAAGAACCUCAACAUAGCUAAGGAAAUAGGAAAUAAAAUAACUAGGAAAAUGAACA
This 1085-nucleotide long non-coding RNA is filed under the name Monodelphis domestica (gray short-tailed opossum). RNAcentral describes it as "lncRNA (ENSMODG00000035122.2)". Lineage: Eukaryota; Metazoa; Chordata; Mammalia; Didelphimorphia; Didelphidae. The record is from RNAcentral.